UGUGACAGCUAAGAGCGGAUAAAGAUGAAUGUCAUGUGUCAUCCAAUAUGAAAGUUUUGGAAGUUAGAAGACAGACUAAGAGCAAAGAAUAAAGUCUGGCAACUUCAGCAGUAAUUUCAGCCAAUUUGCAUUUAAUGGAAGAAGACCAUUGUCUGCUCAUGUAUAUAUCUAACUCAUAAUAGUUUAUAUUCUUUAAGGUUGAUUUGUCAAAUGUAUUUGAAAGAUGACUCUCCAAGGCCCUUGGAGUAUGGGAUCAAGACAGAUGUGAACCCUGCCCUUGUAGAGUCUUGAGUCUGUUGAGGAAGACCCACAUUAAAUUACAUCAAUAUCAGGAUGAUCUCUAUUGGGAGAAGAGAACUAAAUUGUUCAAGGGCAACGUAACAUAUCAGGAUUUCAGCUCAUCUAGGAAAGUUAUUGUUCAAGUCACACACAUCAUAAUGCGGAAUUCUUCAUUAGUACCACCAAAAGAUCAAGAUGAAUCAAACAUCCCUUCUGGAACAGCGCAGAGUGGAAAAAGCUUACAGAAUAAGAGUCAGUUUAGGACCAUUGCACCAAAAAUUGUGCCUAAAGUCUUAACAUCCAGAGUGCUACCCUGUCCUUCCUCACUUUCUGACCAACGGAGUCUGGCUCUCUCCUCCAAGCCUCUGGGCAUACCCACCCAGAACUAUGCUUUGAUGCAGGUGGCUGGCCAGGAGGGCACGUUUUCUCUUUUUGCUUUACCGAAUGUUGCCUCAACUCAGCCAAUUCAGAAGCCAAGAAUGUCCCUGCAUGAAAACCUUAAACUGCCUAUUCCUCGAUACCAACCACCAAGUAACAAAGGGUUAAGAAAGAAACAGGAUUUGAGCCCUCGCAAGAGUAGCUGGAAUGAACGUCCUGGCCCAGUCCAGACAUGCCAAAUAUCCCCUUCCCCACAAGCCCAUCCUGAACCGCCUCACAAGACCAGCCCAUUGAAACAAAUGCCCACUUUAAACUCUUCCUCCACCAUCAAGACAACUACACUGACCAAUAGUAUUGGCCAAGGAGAUUCAAAUCCUCUAGUAACCAGCAGCUGUGGAGACCUGAAGCUUCCUACCAUCCCAGCAUGUGCUACAGAGGAUUCCUCUUCCCCACAGAGCCUCCCAGCAAUCAUGCAGAAGGCAGACUGUACCAGGAAGGAGGUGCCCACUAAGCCUGCUGUUGCUGGUGAAGAGCUUAAAGACCGGGUGGCUCCUGCACACACUGUCUUUAGCAGUGUGGUUCAGUUGGUCUCAUUAGUACCAAAGGGUAAACUGCCCAUCCUGCCCUUUUCAAGAGUGAUAGCUACAGAGGUGGGCAAAGUGGAAUCAGAUGUUGAUAAUGCCAAACUGUCUUCAUCUGGAUGCAGGGCCAACUGUGAUGAGAGACUGCCCAUCACAGAAAGGUUUGAUGCAGCCACCACGAUGCCCAGCAAGGUAACUGCUCUGCAUGGGUCCAAGCAGAAUGCUUGUGAAAGUGCCUUCAGUCCUGUCACUAAAUUAGAUCUCAGCCACAAAGUAAAACCAAGCAGUGGGGCAGUAAAGAGAAAAGGAAGAAAAUGGAAAGUGCCAGAUGAGAUUUUAGCAUUGCAGGGCAAAAGGAGGAAAUACAUUAUUGGUAUGUGUGGAGAUGGUGUGGAAAGGGGAAGAAACAGUCCCCAAGAACCCAGAGACCAGAAGCCCAAGGCUACUUCGAGAAAGUAUCGUAGCAUCAUGCCCAAGCCUGUCAUCGUCAUGUCUGCUUUAGCACCCCUGGAAUCCCCUGCAGCUGCACUGCAGUCCCAGGCUCCCAGCAGCUUAGGUCAGGAUGCUCUGCUGAAUAAUGCACUGCCUCCGAAAUGCCUUGUCUCCAAGCAGAGUGACAGCCCUGCCCCAAAGUUCAGCUCUGGGCUCAGAAACGGAUUCUCUGGCAUUAAGAAGCCCUGGCACAUGUGUCCCAUCUGUAACCACCACUUCCAAUUCAAACACCACCUUCUGGACCACAUGAAUACACACACUAACAGACGGCCUUACAGUUGUGGGAUCUGUCGAAAGGCCUAUGUCCGUCCUGGCAGCUUGAGUGCGCAUAUGAAACUUCACCAUGGUGAGAAUCGUCCCAGGAAACUAGUGUGCUGUGAGUUUUGUGCAAAAGUGUUUGGUCAUGUUCGAGUCUAUUUUGGCCAUCUGAAGGAGGUACACAGGGUUGUGAUCAGCACAGAGCCCUCCUCCAGUGAACAGCAGCCAGGAGACACAUCAAGGAACAAGGACAGAGAUACCUAUGUGCAGAGACCGGAUGGCCCACUGGAGAGGGAAACCAAGUCAAGUUUGGAAGAAGAUUUCCUUCUAAACCAGGCAGGUAAAGUCAAGUUGCAAAUCAGAUGUGCCCGUUGUCAAAUCACUGCUCAGUCUUUUGCUGAAAUAAAGUUCCAUUUGCUUCAUGUUCACGGGGAAGAGAUCCAAGGCCGGCUUCAGGAGGUAAUCUUACCAGGCAGCAGAGUGGGGCUUCCCCACCAGAAGCAGCACCCUGAGAGAAGGAAGCAGGCAAAGCCCUGGGCCUCUGUGGAGGACUCCCUAGCAUGUCCUAAAGUGAAAAGGCAACCACCCUGUCAUCAGAACAGGGAGGAAGCACAGGCAGGAAGUGAAGGUGGCCAGUGGGGAAUGAGCAGCCCACAGCACCCCACCAAGCUUCUCUGGUCCCAUUCAGGCUUUAACUGCCUGCUCUGUGCCAAGAUGCUGGGGAGGAAGGAAGACCUGCUUCUCCACUGGGUACGCCAGCACAACUGUGAGGACCCCGCCAGACUCUGGGCUAUCCUGGGGGCCAUCUCUAACCAGGGAGCUCCUGAAUUCCUCAGUGAAGUAAGGCAGUGACACCGAGGCCACCCAGCUGAAGAGACCUCACACCACCUUUCUGUCACCCUGUUUCUGUUAGUAUUUUAAUUGUAAGGAUCCAGCACUCCAGGGCCAACACCAGUGUACAGAGGGCAGUGGCUGGAGUUGCUGACUAAAUUUAGAAGCAUGUCAUCAGGACACUGAUUCAUGCCAUGGAGGGAAUAGUAGAAGAGAGGAGCUGCUGAGCAUCUAUGAGAAAACUCUUUGGCCUGGGGACAUAGCUCACUGGUAGAAUGCAGGCUCCUGGGUUCAAGUCCCAUUGCCUUUGAAGAGUGAAGACUUGAAGGACCUGUGUGUAAGGACUCCUUCAGAUUCCACCCUGUAGAAGUACACCUGUGUAACAGUGCAAACUGUCCUGGUGCCAUCCAAAGUAAAGGGCUUCUAGCCCUUUAAAUCAGUGCUUCCAGAGAACAGGAGAAGAGGGCCCUUGUUAGAAGAGGGAGUCACUGAGCUAGUAAGCUUGGGAGAGCAGCCCUUGGAUCCUGGCACAGUUCCAGCUUGUUCUCCCACAGAGCACAUACAGGGGUCAGGGGAAGAAAGUACUCUGCCACUUAUUCCCAGUGACUUAGAGAGAAGUCUCUUUCUAGGGCUCCAGCCUCUCUCUAAAGUAUCAGUGACCAUCCCACCUUGAGAAGUGACUAGGAAGAGUUCUUGAAGCAUAAAGCAGCAGGUGGAUGGUAUUUAUUAUGCUUUGGGUUAGGUUUGAAGGAGGUUCAUCAUAGCAUAUAAAAAUCAUUAAAAAUGGCCCAGAUAGCCCUUGAAUGCAUAUUGCAAUGUCUGAAACUACAGAGGAAUGCACAUCUGUGUAUAAAAAAUGCAUUUGUGGAGGCUGGCAUUCCAGAUCUGCAUCUUUCUCCUGCAACUGCUCCUCUGCUCUCCCUCGGUGAAGCUGCUGUCGUAUGCACACAUCAUCCAGAAGCUGGGUUAAGACCACUAGCCUCUUGAGGACAGAGAUAACCCUUUGUCAUCCUGGAGCCCCAUCUAUACAGGGAGUAGCACACAGAUUAUUACUAGGUGAACAACAACAAAGAAUGUCAUCAGCUAAAUGCAAAAUUGCAAUUUUUUUUGUUGUUGUUAAUAAAACACCAAGCACAUAGCUAGGAUGGCAUCAAGGUAAAUUGUGUCUUCAACUCAGCACUUUCAUUUUGCUUAAUGUCUUUGCUUCUCAGAAAAUUGUCCCAAAGCCAGAUUUUUCCCGCUUCUUCUUUUGGCCCUAAAUUAUCUCUGAAAGUUACAGCAUUUUUGAUUUGUACUGUUUUAUUGCUUG
This is a non-coding RNA of Cricetulus griseus (Chinese hamster), 4128 nucleotides long. Lineage: Eukaryota; Metazoa; Chordata; Mammalia; Rodentia; Cricetidae. The record is from RefSeq and is a predicted model, not a curated record.